GACGAACGCUGGCGGCGUGCUUAACACAUGCAAGUCGAACGGAAAGGCCCUGCUUUUGUGGGGUGCUCGAGUGGCGAACGGGUGAGUAACACGUGAGUGACCUGCCCUUGACUUUGGGAUAACUUCAGGAAACUGGGGCUAAUACCGGAUAGGAGCUCCUGCUGCAUGGUGGGGGUUGGAAAGUUUCGGCGGUUGGGGAUGGACUCGCGGCUUAUCAGCUUGUUGGUGGGGUAGUGGCUUACCAAGGCUUUGACGGGUAGCCGGCCUGAGAGGGUGACCGGCCACAUUGGGACUGAGAUACGGCCCAGACUCCUACGGGAGGCAGCAGUGGGGAAUAUUGCACAAUGGGCGGAAGCCUGAUGCAGCAACGCCGCGUGCGGGAUGACGGCCCUCGGGUUGUAAACCGCUUUCGCCUGUGACGAAGCGUGAGUGACGGUAAUGGGUAAAGAAGCACCGGCUAACUACGUG
RNAcentral lists this ribosomal RNA (468 nucleotides) under uncultured bacterium. RNAcentral's name for it is "partial 16S ribosomal RNA". It matches the Rfam family "Bacterial small subunit ribosomal RNA", at positions 28 to 507 of the family's 1533-position model. The record is from RNAcentral.